RNAcentral lists this ribosomal RNA (480 nucleotides) under uncultured bacterium. RNAcentral's name for it is "bacterial SSU rRNA". It matches the Rfam family "Bacterial small subunit ribosomal RNA", at positions 501 to 984 of the family's 1533-position model. The record is from RNAcentral.
CUACGUGCCAGCAGCCGCGGUAAUACGGAAGGUCCGGGCGUUAUCCGGAUUUAUUGGGUUUAAAGGGAGCGUAGGCCGCGCCUUAAGCGUGUUGUGAAAUUCGGGUGCUCAACAUCCGGCUUGCAGCGCGAACUGGGGCGCUUGAGUGCGCUGAAAGUAGGCGGAAUUCGUGGUGUAGCGGUGAAAUGCUUAGAUAUCACGAGGAACUCCGAUUGCGAAGGCAGCCUACUGUAGCGCUACUGACGCUGAUGCUCGAAAGCGUGGGUAUCGAACAGGAUUAGAUACCCUGGUAGUCCACGCGGUAAACGAUGGAUGCUCGUUGUCGGCCCUUCGGGUCGGUGACCAAGCGAAAGCGUUAAGCAUCCCACCUGGGGAGUACGCCGGCAACGGUGAAACUCAAAGGAAUUGACGGGGGCCCGCACAAGCGGAGGAACAUGUGGUUUAAUUCGAUGAUACGCGAGGAACCUUACCCGGGCUUGA